UACGUAGGCAGCGAGCGUUGUUCGGAGUUACUGGGCGUAAAGAGUGCGUAGGCGGUGGCCUAAGUUUGGUGUGAAAUCUCCCGGCUCAACUGGGAGGGUGCGCCGAAAACUGGGUUGCUGGAGUGUGGGAGAGGUAAGCGGAAUUCCUGGUGUAGCGGUGAAAUGCGUAGAUAUCAGGAGGAACACCUGUGGUGUAGACGGCUUACUGGACCAUAACUGACGCUGAGGCACGAAAGCGUGGGUAGCAAACAGG
Molecule: ribosomal RNA, 253 nt
Filed under: uncultured bacterium
Lineage: Bacteria
Description: partial 16S ribosomal RNA
Rfam family: Bacterial small subunit ribosomal RNA
Source: RNAcentral